UACGGAGGGGGCCAGCGUUGUUCGGAAUCAUUGGGCGUAAAGGGCGCGUAGGCGGCCAAUCAAGUCCGACGUGAAAUUCCCCGGCUCAACCGGGGGCCUGCGUCGGAUACUGCUUGGCUUGAGUCCCGGAGAGGGUAGUGGAAUUCCCAGUGUAGCGGUGAAAUGCGUAGAUACUGGGAGGAACACCGGUGGCGAAGGCGGCUACCUGGACGGGUACUGACGCUGAGGCGCGAAAGCGUGGGGAGCGAACAGG
This 253-nucleotide ribosomal RNA is filed under the name uncultured bacterium. RNAcentral describes it as "partial 16S ribosomal RNA". It matches the Rfam family "Bacterial small subunit ribosomal RNA", at positions 524 to 776 of the family's 1533-position model. The record is from RNAcentral.